UAGAGUUUGAUCCUGGCUCAGGACGAACGCUGGCGGCGUGCUUAACACAUGCAAGUCGAGCGGAAAGGCCCUUCGGGGUACUCGAGCGGCGAACGGGUGAGUAACACGUGAGCAACCUGCCCUUAGCUCUGGGAUAGCUCCGGGAAACCGGAAUUAAUACCGGAUAUGACCUAGGCCGACAUCGGCCGUGGUGGAAAGUUUUUCGGCUAGGGAUGAACUCGCGGCCUAUCAGCUAGUUGGGGGGGUAAUGGCCCACCAAGGCGACGACGGGUAGCUGGUCUGAGAGGAUGGCCAGCCACAUUGGGACUGAGAGACGGCCCAGACUCCUACGGGAGGCAGCAGUGGGGAAUUUUGGACAAUGGGGGCAACCCUGAUCCAGCAAUGCCGCGUGUGUGAAGAAGGCCUUCGGGUUGUAAAGCACUUUUGUCCGGAAAGAAAACUUCUGGGUUAAUACCCUGGGAGGCUGACGGUACCGGAAGAAUAAGCACCGGCUAACUACGUGCCAGCAGCCGCGGUAGCCCAAUCGC
This 527-nucleotide ribosomal RNA is filed under the name uncultured bacterium. RNAcentral's name for it is "bacterial SSU rRNA". It matches the Rfam family "Bacterial small subunit ribosomal RNA", at positions 1 to 532 of the family's 1533-position model. The record is from RNAcentral.